This 611-nucleotide ribosomal RNA is filed under the name uncultured bacterium. RNAcentral describes it as "bacterial SSU rRNA". It matches the Rfam family "Bacterial small subunit ribosomal RNA", at positions 338 to 944 of the family's 1533-position model. The record is from RNAcentral.
CCUACGGGAGGCAGCAGUAAGGAAUAUUGGUCAAUGGAGGCAACUCUGAACCAGCCAUGCCGCGUGCAGGAAGAAGGCCCUAUGGGUCGUAAACUGCUUUUGUACCAGAGAAAACCCGAGUACGUGUACUCGGUUGAUAGUAUGGUAAGAAUAAGCAUCGGCUAACUUCGUGCCAGCAGCCGCGGUAAGACGAAGGAUGCAAGCGUUAUCCGGAUUCAUUGGGUUUAAAGGGUGCGUAGGCGGACUGAUAAGUCAGUGGUGAAAUCUCUCGGCUUAACCGAGAAACUGCCAUUGAUACUGUUAGUCUAGAGUAUAGAUGACGUUGGCGGAAUAUGACAUGUAGUGGUGAAAUACUUAGAUAUGUCAUAGAACACCGAUUGCGAAGGCAGCUAACGAAACUAUAACUGACGCUGAGGCACGAAAGUGCGGGGAUCAAACAGGAUUAGAUACCCUGGUAGUCCGCACCGUAAACGAUGAUUACUCGUUGUUGGCAAUAUGACCGUCAGCGACCAAGCGAAAGCGAUAAGAAUCCACCUGGGGAGUACGCCGGCAACGGUGAAACUCAAAGAGUAGUAGACGNGAGAGAGCGACGGAGACGACGAGGGAGGGAG